UCGACAGCAGCAAAAAAACUUAAAACUCAUGUCUAAUAGGCUUGAAUCUUCAUAAAAAUUGUGUUAAAUCAACAUGAAAAGAAGCCAUGUCUACCUGAGAAUGCUUGUACAGUCAAGCGAGCGUGAGAUACCCCAAGAAAAUACUUGUCGAUUCCUGAAACGAAGCAAAUAGAGCUUCAACGCAGAGAUCUUAGCGUUGAUGAACCUGCUACUUUGGGUCUUGAUUUGAAAGAACUGGGAAUGUUUUUUCUAAAUUUUUCCAAAACAAAAGUUGUUCUACUACCUCUAUAGAUAAUGCAGAGACAGAGAUAUCACUUAAAUAUUUAAAAUCAAAGUUAGAAUUUGGCAAGAAACAGGGCUGAUCCGCCAGCUCUGUUACGUUUCUGCAGAAAAUUUUUUUGAAGACCACAACUUCGGGCCUCGAUUUGAGGGAUUUAUAGUGAUUAUAUGGGAAAAAAUUUAACACAAAAGUUCCUCCUCUCUAUCCGUUGAAGGUGCAGAAAAAAUAAUUACUCCAAAAAGAUUAGUAAAGAAAGAGAAAAUCGAAUUGGAAGGGAGCUGGUUCGCCAGCUCAUUUCCAGUUUUUUUUUUUUUUGCUGAAA
This 602-nucleotide long non-coding RNA is filed under the name Coffea arabica (coffee). Its description in RNAcentral is "long non-coding RNA (CARA_LNC000647)". Lineage: Eukaryota; Viridiplantae; Streptophyta; Magnoliopsida; Gentianales; Rubiaceae. The record is from RNAcentral.